UGGGAUUUAGUUUGUUCCUGUUUUAGAUCAACUUUGACAUGCUUUUUGGAUGUUUAUGUUAGUUUGCUGGGUAAAGCUUUAAUCUGAGUGAUUUAUUUGGUUGUUUUGCAGUUUCUUAAGAGCUUUUGGAAAGUGCUUUUAAAAUAAGCUGCUUUUGUUCUCUGCAUAUUACAACUUUGGAAGUGACUUGAUGAAGGUGGCUUGUAAGAAAUGCCAAACUUGGAGGCGCCAGCUUUUGGUCACCAACAACACCUUUUUUN
Molecule: long non-coding RNA, 260 nt
Filed under: Lathyrus oleraceus (garden pea)
Lineage: Eukaryota; Viridiplantae; Streptophyta; Magnoliopsida; Fabales; Fabaceae
Description: Pisum sativum (pea) long non-coding RNA (PSAT_LNC041031)
Source: RNAcentral